GGAGAGGUGGCCGAGCUGGCCGAAGGCAGCCGCCUGCUAAGCGGUUACAGGGGCUAAAACCUCUGUCCCGGGUUCGAAUCCCGGCCUCUCCGCCA
RNAcentral lists this transfer RNA (95 nucleotides) under Acidobacteria bacterium 13_1_40CM_2_68_5. Its description in RNAcentral is "tRNA-Ser". It matches the Rfam family "tRNA". From Rfam's summary of the family: Transfer RNA (tRNA) molecules are approximately 80 nucleotides in length. Their secondary structure includes four short double-helical elements and three loops (D, anti-codon, and T loops). The record is from RNAcentral. Lineage: Bacteria; Pseudomonadati; Acidobacteriota. RNAcentral also lists the same sequence under 1 other name.